This is a long non-coding RNA of Xiphophorus couchianus (Monterrey platyfish), 317 nucleotides long. RefSeq lists it as uncharacterized. NCBI's taxonomy places the organism in Eukaryota, Metazoa, Chordata, Actinopteri, Cyprinodontiformes, Poeciliidae. The transcript has 3 exons. The record is from RefSeq and is a predicted model, not a curated record.
ACACAGUGGAAAAAACAAAAUUUCGGAAGAAAUUUAGCCGGGGCCUGCCAAGGCGCGCCCGGGGGGUUUGGGCCCGGCGUCGUCUCGCUACAAAUCGGCAUCGACGCUAAAGAACGCCGCAACGUAAUCAGUGGCACGCGGAGAACCGCAAGAACGUUAAGCGAGGCGGACGUGCACCAUUCGGUAUGAUUUAAAAUGUUGUCAAGGCUAGUCAUUUAGUCAGUUUUCCACACUGUCAUUUCUUACUCAUCUUCAUUGAAAUACUGCAGACACAACCUCAGUUUUUAAAUUCAAGCUGAAAAGUUCAAAGUGUAACU